RNAcentral lists this ribosomal RNA (625 nucleotides) under uncultured bacterium. RNAcentral describes it as "bacterial SSU rRNA". The stretch from base 1 to 535 matches the Rfam family "Bacterial small subunit ribosomal RNA", at positions 338 to 873 of the family's 1533-position model. The record is from RNAcentral.
CCUACGGGAGGCAGCAGUAAGGAAUAUUGGGCAAUGGAGGCAACUCUGACCCAGCCAUGCCGCGUGAAGGAUGAAGGCCCUAUGGGUUGUAAACUUCUUUUGUACGGGAAUAAACCUGGUUACGUGUAACCAGUUGAAUGUACCGUAAGAAUGAGCACCGGCUAACUCCGUGCCAGCAGCCGCGGUAAUACGGAGGGUGCAAGCGUUAUCCGGAUUUAUUGGGUUUAAAGGGAGCGUAGGCGGGAUUGUAAGUCAGUGGUGAAAGCCCGUAGCUCAACUACGGAACUGCCAUUGAUACUGCAGACCUAGAGUACACUUGAAGUGGGCGGAAUGUGUCAUGUAGCGGUGAAAUGCUUAGAUAUGACACAGAACACCAAUUGCGAAGGCAGCUCACUAAAUUGUAACUGACGCUGAGGCUCGAUAGCGUGGGGAUCAAACAGGAUUAGAUACCCUGGUAGUCCACGCCGUAAACGAUGAUUACUCGNUGUGUCGAUACACUGUCAGCGUCUGNGCGAAGACGAUAAGUAAUACCACCGUGGGUAGGUACGGUUCGCGAGACGUUAGAACGUUACGAAGGAAGUUAGACGGCGUUGAGACGNGCGACGGACGACGACGAGGGAGGAGG